Penaeus monodon (black tiger shrimp) is the source of this 518-nucleotide long non-coding RNA. RefSeq lists it as uncharacterized. The record is from RefSeq and is a predicted model, not a curated record. Lineage: Eukaryota; Metazoa; Arthropoda; Malacostraca; Decapoda; Penaeidae. The transcript is spliced from 3 exons.
UAGGCGAGGGAGGACGCGCGACGCUGCGUCUCUCGGAGCCUCUUGACACGCGCUUUGGAACGUUGUAUUUUGGCGUUGAGAGAAUUGCCUUUGUUUAUAUGUUAAAAAGAGUGACACGAACGUUUCUUAGUGUUGUGUUCAUGGCUGAAUUUUGAUGAAAGUGAUUUUUUUGUGGAUGUUGUGUUUUUUUGAGUUUUUAAGCGAUCUUUCUAAUUGACGGGAACACCCGAGACCACAAUAUCAGCCGGAUUUGGAUGUAACGCCCGUGAACAUUUUUGGUCCUUGUGAGAAAAGGGAUUAUCUGGAAAGCCUUUAACCCUCCGAUACCUUUGGAUCACGCAAGGACCCGGCAGCACCACGGUAUACUAAAGGCAGGUGUCACCGGACCCCGAAAAACCGCCACCCAAAACGGGACGCUCUAUAAUUAGGUAAGUCCGUUAGAGGAAGUGCCAUUGUCUGUGUCAGCGGGCUGUCUGUGGCACCGCCUGUCUGUCCUGCAUGCGUGUGCUGAUGGCCUG